This 761-nucleotide ribosomal RNA is filed under the name Prevotella nigrescens. Its description in RNAcentral is "bacterial SSU rRNA". It matches the Rfam family "Bacterial small subunit ribosomal RNA", at positions 28 to 776 of the family's 1533-position model. Lineage: Bacteria; Pseudomonadati; Bacteroidota; Bacteroidia; Bacteroidales; Prevotellaceae. The record is from RNAcentral.
GAUGAACGCUGGCUACAGGCUUAACACAUGCAAGUCGUGGGGAAACGGCAUUAUGUGCUUGCACAUUCUGGACGUCGACCGGCGCACGGGUGAGUAUCGCGUAUCCAACCUGCCCCUUACUUGGGGAUACCCCGUUGAAAGACGGCCUAAUACCCGAUGUGUUUCAUUGACGGCAUCCGAUAUGAAACAAAGGUUUUCCGGUAAGGGAUGGGGAUGCGUCUGAUUAGCUUGUUGGCGGGGCAACGGCCCACCAAGGCGACGAUCAGUAGGGGUUCUGAGAGGAAGGUCCCCCACAUUGGAACUGAGACACGGUCCAAACUCCUACGGGAGGCAGCAGUGAGGAAUAUUGGUCAAUGGACGCAAGUCUGAACCAGCCAAGUAGCGUGCAGGAUGACGGCCCUAUGGGUUGUAAACUGCUUUUAUGUGGGAAUAAAGUGGCGCACGUGUGCGCCAUUGCAUGUACCUCAUGAAUAAGGACCGGCUAAUUCCGUGCCAGCAGCCGCGGUAAUACGGAAGGUCCGGGCGUUAUCCGGAUUUAUUGGGUUUAAAGGGAGUGUAGGCGGUCUGUUAAGCGUGUUGUGAAAUUUAGGUGCCCAACAUUUAACUUGCAGCGCGAACUGUCAGACUUGAGUACACGCAGCGCAGGCGGAAUUCAUGGUGUAGCGGUGAAAUGCUUAGAUAUCAUGAGGAACUCCGAUCGCGAAGGCAGCCUGCGGGAGUGUUACUGACGCUUAAGCUCGAAGGUGCGGGUAUCGAACAGG